AGUGGCAAAGCUAGGCUAGGUCUUGGAGGCUGGUGUAAGGCGAUGUGGGUGAAGGCAGGAGGCUGAUGGAAAGACUGGGGGGAAGAAAAGCCGAAAUGGAUUCACGGUGCCUUGGAUGAAGGACGAGAGGGGAACUGCAAGCUCCUUCAACUGGUUCUGUCCGGUGAGAAGUGAUCAAGCUUGGGCUGACAAGAGGCUCAGGGAGCCCUCACGUUCUUUCGCUUUUUUACCUGCCAAUCAAACUGCUACAAGACAACACCCUGAUCUGGCAUGGACAUCGCGGGUCCAAGCCUGUAGCCCCAAAUCGGAUAAUCUCUGCAGCUGAUAACAAGCAAAAGAGAAGCCAGGCAACAGCCAUAUUAAAGAAGAAAACAAUCAACUCUGAGCUCACCAACUUCUCAAACCUUGAUUCUAAAAAGAAAAAUAGGCCAGGCGCAGUGGCUCACACCUGUAAUCCCAGCACUUUGGGAGGCUGAGAUCCAACUUAGAAAUAAUGUUUCAUUCAAGAUAAGGCUCGUGGCUUAGGAGAUUGUGACCUGGCUUGCAUCAUUCUAAGACUUCUAUCGUCUGUUUUCAAAACCCAAGGAGGACCUCCUUUUCUGUGUGAUAGUUCCUCAUGCUUUGCCAGCCACUGGGUCUUUAAGGAAGCUUGCCAAGAGUUCCCGGCUGGGAAGGACAGUUCGAGUUCAUCAUAGACAAUGAGCUGGCACCACAGUUUAAGUGACUCACCAACCUGGUUGCCCACUUCAAAAUGUCAAGAACCACACUAUCUAAUUGAAAGAACUGUGUUUUAGCAAAGUGUAAUUGGAUCGCCUGGCAAGAUCAUCUCAAACUAUGUCUCUGACCUUGCCUUUCAGUGGCUAUUUUGAGCACAAGAGGAGAAAGGAAAUGAUUCCUGAAUUAUAUCUUGUUUUUAAAAAUUAAGAUUAAUUAAUACUUGGUUUUAUGUUCAUUCCAUUGUAGGAACUUAGUGAUUAUUACAAAACAGUCAAAAUAGGUCAUAGCAAAAUGAACGUUUAAGAUUAGGUUAAAACAUUCCUCUGAAAUUUUAGUAUUCACUUUUGAAGUGUCAAUUACUAUAUUUCUGUAAUUUCUCAUUUUUUUCUUGGCUUAGAGUCAAGAUGAAAAAUGAUAUUUGAAUCAAAGACAUUGUUUUGUUAUAUAGCCACUCCUUUCUAAAAUGCAAAUCCACCCUCCCCUCACCAAUGCUUUAUUCUUUGUGCGCGCACACACACACACACACACACACACACACACACACACACACAGACAUACACAGAACCAGCACCCAAAUGGUAGAGGAGGUCCUUCCAAGACUUCUAGGACCUGGAUCAUGUAAGCAGUAGAUGAGAAAAUGAAGUAAGAGAUAUAGAGUAAUAACAAUAAAAGUCAAUGAUUUCAUUUUACAAAAAAGUCAUUGUGUAGUACUCAGAUAUUUUUAAGAGCAAGUAUUAUUAUGACUAAAGUAUAUUAUACUUCUAAAUUAUUAUGAUUCUCAUCUAAUUUCAAGCCACACAUAGGCGCCAUUUGAAAGCAUUUUGUGUUACAACCUAUCAACAAAAAUCAACUAAUAGUUUUAUAACGUGCAUAGGUUUACCCCAUGGGGAAUUAAAAUUUUUAUCUGCAAGUAUUUCUGUUGUUGUGAGACUUUAGGACAAGACAACAUUUGGUGUUAACAUAGAAGAAUAUUCUAUGGCUUUUUUAGCUUUAA
RNAcentral lists this long non-coding RNA (1711 nucleotides) under Homo sapiens (human). Its description in RNAcentral is "non-protein coding SOX2-OT:122". The stretch from base 3 to 278 matches the Rfam family "SOX2 overlapping transcript exon 3". Lineage: Eukaryota; Metazoa; Chordata; Mammalia; Primates; Hominidae. The record is from RNAcentral.